Molecule: non-coding RNA, 165 nt
Filed under: uncultured Clostridium sp.
Lineage: Bacteria; Bacillati; Bacillota; Clostridia; Eubacteriales; Clostridiaceae
Description: Lysine riboswitch
Rfam family: Lysine riboswitch aptamer
About the family: Riboswitches are metabolite binding domains within certain messenger RNAs that serve as precision sensors for their corresponding targets. Allosteric rearrangement of mRNA structure is mediated by ligand binding, and this results in modulation of gene expression. This family includes riboswitches that sense lysine in a number of genes involved in lysine metabolism, including lysC.
Source: RNAcentral
UAGAUAGAGGUUGCGAUAUUUAAGAGUAUGUUUAUUGAGGUAAGCACGAUGAUAUAAACAGAAAGGAAAUUUCGCCGAAAUGUAUAGUUUAUGCUUUAAGACUAUAGCAUUGGGGUUAUGCAAAAUAUGCAUAAAACUGUCACAAAAUUUUGUGAAGAGCUAUCA